RNAcentral lists this ribosomal RNA (607 nucleotides) under Agaricaceae sp. PA205. RNAcentral describes it as "eukaryotic LSU rRNA". It matches the Rfam family "Eukaryotic large subunit ribosomal RNA", at positions 52 to 642 of the family's 3401-position model. The record is from RNAcentral. Lineage: Eukaryota; Fungi; Basidiomycota; Agaricomycetes; Agaricales; Agaricaceae.
GGAGGAAAAGAACUAACAAGGAUUCCCCUAGUAACUGCGAGUGAAGCGGGAAAAGCUCAAAUUUAAAAUCUGAUAGUCUCUGGCUGUCCGAGUUGUAAUCUAGAGAAGUGUUGCCCGCGCUGGACCGUGUACAAGUCUCCUGGGAUGGAGCGUCAUAGAGGGUGAGAAUCCCGUCUCUGACACGGACUACCAGGGCUUUGUGGUACGCUCUCAAAGAGUCGAGUUGUUUGGGAAUGCAGCUCAAAAUGGGUGGUAAAUUCCAUCUAAAGCUAAAUAUUGGCGAGAGACCGAUAGCGAACAAGUACCGUGAGGGAAAGAUGAAAAGAACUUUGGAAAGAGAGUUAAACAGUACGUGAAAUUGCUGAAAGGGAAACGCUUGAAGUCAGUCACGUUGGCUGGGGAUCAGCCUCGCUCUUUUGCGUGGUGUAUUUCCUGGUUGACGGGUCAGCAUCAAUUUUGACCACUGGAAAAAGGCUUGAGGAAUGUGGCAGCUCCGGCUGUGUUAUAGCUUCUUGUCAUAUACAGUGGUUGGGAUUGAGGAACUCAGCACGCCGCAAGGCCGGGUUUCGACCACGUUCGUGCUUAGGAUGCUGGCAUAAUGGCUUUA